AGCGAACGCUGGCGGCAGGCCUAACACAUGCAAGUCGAACGAACUCUUCGGAGUUAGUGGCGGACGGGUGAGUAACACGUGGGAACGUGCCUUUUGGUUCGGAAUAACUCAGGGAAACUUGUGCUAAUAACGAAUGUGCCCUUCGGGGGAAAGAUUUAUCGCCAUUAGAGCGGCCCGCGUCUGAUUAGCUAGUUGGGGAGGUAACGGCUCACCAAGGCGACGAUCAGUAGCUGGUCUGAGAGGAUGACCAGCCACACUGGGACUGAGACACGGCCCAGACUCCUACGUGAGGCAGCAGUGUUGAAUCUUGCGCAAUGGGCGAAAGCCUGACGCAGCCAUGCCGCGGGAAGGAUGAAGGUCUUAGGAUUGUAAAAUUCUUUCACCGGGGACGAUAAUGACGGUACCCGGAGAAGAAGCCCCGGCUAACUUCGUG
This 433-nucleotide ribosomal RNA is filed under the name uncultured bacterium. Its description in RNAcentral is "partial 16S ribosomal RNA". It matches the Rfam family "Bacterial small subunit ribosomal RNA", at positions 29 to 507 of the family's 1533-position model. The record is from RNAcentral.